This 226-nucleotide ribosomal RNA is filed under the name uncultured bacterium. Its description in RNAcentral is "partial 16S ribosomal RNA". It matches the Rfam family "Bacterial small subunit ribosomal RNA", at positions 538 to 763 of the family's 1533-position model. The record is from RNAcentral.
GCGUUGUCCGGAAUCAUUGGGCGUAAAGAGCGCGUAGGCGGCCCUGUAAGUCCGCUGUGAAAGUCAAGGGCUCAACCCUUGAAUGCCGGUGGAUACUGCAGGGCUAGAGUCCGGAAGAGGCGAGUGGAAUUCCUGGUGUAGCGGUGAAAUGCGCAGAUAUCAGGAGGAACACCGAUGGCGAAGGCAGCUCGCUGGGACGGUACUGACGCUGAGGCGCGAAAGCGUG